RNAcentral lists this ribosomal RNA (493 nucleotides) under uncultured Desulfobulbus sp. RNAcentral describes it as "bacterial SSU rRNA". It matches the Rfam family "Bacterial small subunit ribosomal RNA", at positions 896 to 1382 of the family's 1533-position model. The record is from RNAcentral. Lineage: Bacteria; Pseudomonadati; Thermodesulfobacteriota; Desulfobulbia; Desulfobulbales; Desulfobulbaceae.
GAAACUACAAAGGAAGUUGACGGGGCCCGCACAAGCGGUGGAGUAUGUGGUUUAAUUCGAUGCAACGCGAAGAACCUUACCUGGUCUUGACAUCCCGGAGACCCUUAGGAAACUAGGGGGUGCUUCCAUCUGGAAGAAUCUGGAGACAGGUGCUGCAUGGCUGUCGUCAGCUCGUGUCGUGAGAUGUUGGGUUAAGUCCCGCAACGAGCGCAACCCUUGCCUUUAGUUGCCAGCAGUUCGGCUGGGCACUCUAAAGGGACUGCCGGUGUUAAACCGGAGGAAGGUGGGGAUGACGUCAAGUCCUCAUGGCCUUUAUGACCAGGGCUACACACGUACUACAAUGGCCGAUACAAAGGGCAGCGACACUGCGAGGUGAAGCCAAUCCCGUAAAAUCGGUCUCAGUCCGGAUUGGAGUCUGCAACUCGACUCCAUGAAGUUGGAAUCGCUAGUAAUCGUGGAUCAGCAUGCCACGGUGAAUACGUUCCCGGGCCUU